Non-coding RNA from Dallia pectoralis (Alaska blackfish), 73 nucleotides. The record is from the annotation of a GenBank genome assembly. Lineage: Eukaryota; Metazoa; Chordata; Actinopteri; Esociformes; Umbridae.
UGUAUUGUAAUUUAGUUGGUGGAACUUGAUGCUUGUAACGUCAGGGUUGUGGGUUUGAUUCCCACGGGGGGAG